AUUGAACGCUGGCGGCAUGCUUUACACAUGCAAGUCGAACGGUAACAGGCCGCAAGGUGCUGACGAGUGGCGCACGGGUGAGUAAUGCAUCGGAACGUGCCCAGUCGUGGGGGAUAACUACUCGAAAGAGUAGCUAAUACCGCAUACGAUCUAUGGAUGAAAGCGGGGGACCGUAAGGCCUCGCGCGAUUGGAGCGGCCGAUGUCAGAUUAGGUAGUUGGUGGGGUAAAGGCUCACCAAGCCAACGAUCUGUAGCUGGUCUGAGAGGACGACCAGCCACACUGGGACUGAGACACGGCCCAGACUCCUACGGGAGGCAGCAGUGGGGAAUUUUGGACAAUGGGCGCAAGCCUGAUCCAGCAAUGCCGCGUGCAGGAAGAAGACCUUCGGGUUGUAAACUGCUUUUGUACGGAACGAAACGGCUCUGGUUAAUACCCGGGGCUAAUGACGGUACCGUAAGAAUAAGCACCGGCUAACUACGUG
This 482-nucleotide ribosomal RNA is filed under the name uncultured bacterium. RNAcentral describes it as "partial 16S ribosomal RNA". It matches the Rfam family "Bacterial small subunit ribosomal RNA", at positions 30 to 507 of the family's 1533-position model. The record is from RNAcentral.